UACAGAGGGUGCGAGCGUUGUCCGGAAUCACUGGGCGUAAAGGGCGCGUAGGUGGCGCGACAAGUCAGUGGUGAAAGUUCGACGCUCAACGUCGAAUCGGCCACUGAUACUGUUGGGCUUGAGCACUGUAGAGGCUAAUGGAAUUCCGGGUGUAGCGGUGGAAUGCGUAGAGAUCCGGAAGAACACCGGUGGCGAAGGCGGCCUGCUGGGCAGUUUUGCUGACACUGAGGCGCGACAGCGUGGGGAGCAAACAGG
RNAcentral lists this ribosomal RNA (255 nucleotides) under uncultured bacterium. Its description in RNAcentral is "partial 16S ribosomal RNA". It matches the Rfam family "Bacterial small subunit ribosomal RNA", at positions 524 to 776 of the family's 1533-position model. The record is from RNAcentral.